Molecule: ribosomal RNA, 450 nt
Filed under: uncultured bacterium
Lineage: Bacteria
Description: partial 16S ribosomal RNA
Rfam family: Bacterial small subunit ribosomal RNA
Source: RNAcentral
GUGGGGAAUUUUGGACAAUGGGGGCAACCCUGAUCCAGCCAUGCCGCGUGCGGGAAGAAGGCCUUCGGGUUGUAAAGCUCUGUGGGGAGGGAAGAAAAAGCGGGAGAGUAACUGCUCUCGUGUUGACGGUACCUCCUUAGCAAGCACCGGCUAACUCUGUGCCAGCAGCCGCGGUAAUACAGAGGGUGCAAACGUUGCUCGGAAUUACUGGGCGUAAAGCGCGUGUAGGCUGACAUGCAAGUCGGGUGUGAAAUCCCAGGGCUCAACCUUGGAACUGCACUCGAAACUGCACGUCUUGAGUACUGGAGAGGGAAGCGGAAUUCCGGGUGUAGAGGUGAAAUUCGUAGAUAUCCGGAGGAACACCAGUGGCGAAGGCGGCUUCCUGGACAGUAACUGACGCUGAGACGCGAAAGCGUGGGGAGCAAACAGGAUUAGAAACCCUGGUAGUAC